UACGAAGGGGGCUAGCGUUGCUCGGAAUCACUGGGCGUAAAGGGUGCGUAGGCGGGUCUUUAAGUCAGGGGUGAAAUCCUGGAGCUCAACUCCAGAACUGCCUUUGAUACUGAAGAUCUUGAGUUCGGGAGAGGUGAGUGGAACUGCGAGUGUAGAGGUGAAAUGCGUAGAUAUCUGGAGGAACACCAAUAGCGAAGGCAGCUCGCUGGGACGUUACUGACACUGAGGCGCGAAAGCGUGGGGAGCGAACAGG
This 253-nucleotide ribosomal RNA is filed under the name uncultured bacterium. RNAcentral describes it as "partial 16S ribosomal RNA". It matches the Rfam family "Bacterial small subunit ribosomal RNA", at positions 524 to 776 of the family's 1533-position model. The record is from RNAcentral.